This 180-nucleotide ribosomal RNA is filed under the name uncultured Glomeromycotina. RNAcentral describes it as "partial small subunit ribosomal RNA". The stretch from base 88 to 180 matches the Rfam family "Eukaryotic small subunit ribosomal RNA", at positions 735 to 828 of the family's 1831-position model. Lineage: Eukaryota; Fungi; Glomeromycota. The record is from RNAcentral.
GGCCUGGCUGGUCGGUCCGCCUAACCGCGUGCACUGAUUCGGCCGGGUCUUUCCUUCUGGCUAACCUCAUGUCCUUUACUGGGUGUGUUGGGGAUCCAGGACUUUUACUUUGAAAAAAUUAGAGUGUUCAAAGCAGGCUUUUACGCUUGAAUACAUUAGCAUGGAAUAAUGGAAUAGGAC